GUCUACGGCCAUACCACACUGAACACGCCCGAUCUCGCCUGAUCUCGAAAGCUAAGCAGGGUCGGGCCUGGUUAGUACUUGGAUGGGAGACCGCUUGGGAAUACCAGGUGUUGUAGGCU
RNAcentral lists this ribosomal RNA (119 nucleotides) under Pelobates cultripes (western spadefoot toad). The record is from RNAcentral. Lineage: Eukaryota; Metazoa; Chordata; Amphibia; Anura; Pelobatidae.